GAUUAAGCCAUGCAUGUGUAAGUAUAAAUAGUUAACUUUGAAACUGCGAAUGGCUCAUUAUAUCAGUUAUAGUUUAUUCGAUGAAGAAUACUAAUUGGAUAACCGUAGUAAUUCUAGAGCUAAUACAUGUAUAAAGUCUUGUAGACUGCAUUUAUUAGAAUGAAAACCAUAGGUUUCGGCCUAUUCGUGAGUAAUAAUAACUAAUCAUAUCGUAUGCUUAUGUAACGAUGUGUCUUCCAAGUUUCUGCCCUAUCAGCUUUCGAUGGUAGUGUAUUGGACUACCAUG
Molecule: ribosomal RNA, 286 nt
Filed under: Blastocystis hominis
Lineage: Eukaryota; Bigyra; Opalinata; Blastocystidae
Description: partial 18S ribosomal RNA
Rfam family: Eukaryotic small subunit ribosomal RNA
Source: RNAcentral